Long non-coding RNA from Antechinus flavipes (yellow-footed antechinus), 840 nucleotides. RefSeq lists it as uncharacterized. The transcript has 3 exons. The record is from RefSeq and is a predicted model, not a curated record. Lineage: Eukaryota; Metazoa; Chordata; Mammalia; Dasyuromorphia; Dasyuridae.
GAAAGAACACCAGACUGGACGACAAGAAUCUAAAUUUGAUCAUCACUGACGUGAACCAAAGAAAUUCAGAUUUGGUGAUUCUGGGCAGCUCAAACCAUCAGCAACUCCCUGAUGCAUGGAGCCCAUGGUGGUACCUGUAGCUAUCAUUCAGAGACCUGCUCUUAAUUUAAAUGUCUAUCAUCCACUAAUAGAAGGAAAGCGAUGGAGAGAGAGCCAGAGAUGAUGAACUGUGAACAGAAUGGAGAACAAAUCAGUGCCCUAAAAUCUUCAUUUCUGUCCCUACUGUGUUCACCCUUGCAUAGUCAGUCACUAAGACCUGCCUCUCCCAUUCCUAAGAAAUUGAUGUUUCUGAUGGCUCCAUCAAACACUUCAGGGACUUCUUAAAUAUUUAGACAAAGAACAAAUAGACUUCUUUUAUAGUGAGAAUUAGCACAAAUCACUCUCAGAUCAAGUAACCCUGAUAAAAAGGUAAAAAAAAAAAAAAAAAAAGCUUUUUUCAAUGACUUGGUCUUGGUGAAAGUUUGGAAGAAACAGAGAAAGGGUGGAGGGAGGAAGAGAGAGAAAGAAAAGCAGAGAGAGGCAGAGAAGGAAGAGGGAAAUAGAGAUGUGUACGUGUGUGCAUGUGUGUAUUUAUACAUAGAUAUGUGUAUAAAUAAAAAAUGUAUGUGUGCCUCUAAAUGUACAUGUGCUUAUACUUAUGUGUUUAUCUUUGUGUGUAUCACUGCGUGUAUAAGAAGUUUCAUAAAACAUUCUGAAGAUCUGAGAGAAAAUUGUUCUGUCACAAACACACACAUAUAAGAUAGAUAAUUAUACAUAGAUAGAUGAUAGAUAAAUGAUAAA